AUCUGGGCAGCCCGGUUCCGGAGCAUCAGAGACCCACCUGGUGAUGUCCUGGCCAGCCCGGAGCCACUCUUCACUGCAGAUUACCCCAUAUUCUAUCCCCCAGGGCCUCUGGGAGGAUUUGAUAGCAUGGCUGAGCUCCUGCCAAGCUCAAGAGCUGAACUAGAGGACCCUGGGGGGAAUGGAGCAAUUCCUGCAAUGUAUCUAGACUGCAUUUCAGAUUUGAGGCAAAAAGAAAUCACUGAUAGCAUCCACAGCUCCUCAGACAUUAAUAUUUUAUAUAAUGAUGCAGUAGAAUCCUGCAUUCAGGACCCUUCUGCAGAGGGGCUGUCGGAGGAGGUUCCUGUGGUGUUUGAGGAGCUGCCGGUGGUGUUCGAGGAUGUGGCAGUGUAUUUCACCCGGGAGGAGUGGGGCAUGCUAGACAAGUGGCAGAAGGAGCUGUACAGAGACGUGAUGCGGAUGAACUACGAGCUGUUGGCAUCCUUGGGUAAAGACGCACCGAGCCUCUUAUUGGCCACCCUCAUUUGACUUGGGAAGCCCACAAGGGGAGCUGUGGCUUGUGGUUAUCUUCCCAUUCCUGCCCCCUCCCUGUGUGUAGGCAGAGACCGAUCCUGUCUUUUGCACCUCAGAACUCCCCUGCUUGGGGUAACUGUGCUUUAUCACCUUCUCAUCCACCCAUCUGUUCAUCCAUUCGUCCCCCACCAGACAUUUUGGAGUACCUACUAUGUGCCAGAUGAACACAGCUGAUCCAUGGUCUCUGCUUUCAAGGGCCUAGCACAUUUGUGAGAGAGACAGACAUUUUAAUAAGAAACUAUAAAAUAAUACAGUCUCCCAUAAAAGAGCUUCCAGAAGAGUACCCGGGGCUACUGAAGAAGAGGGAUUUGAUUUCCUGGGCAUUGGCGGGAGGAAUCAGGAAGCCUUUAUAGAGUAGGAAAUGUUUUAAUUGAGUUCAAAACCAGGUGGAUCAGAAGGAGGAAGGGCAUUGAGCCAUGAUGGAGGGGACGGCCUGGCAGAGCCACCCCUAUCUAUGCAGCCC
This 1033-nucleotide small RNA is filed under the name Pongo abelii (Sumatran orangutan). Its description in RNAcentral is "retained intron". The record is from RNAcentral. Lineage: Eukaryota; Metazoa; Chordata; Mammalia; Primates; Hominidae.